GUAGGUGGCAAGCGUUGUCCGGAAUUAUUGGGCGUAAAGCGCGCGCAGGUGGUUCUUUAAGUCUGAUGUGAAAGCCCCCGGGCUCAACCGGGGAGGGUCAUUGGAAACUGGGGAACUUGAGUGCAGGAGAGGAAAGUGGAAUUCCACGUGUAGCGCUGAAAUGCGUAGAUAUGUGGAGGAACACCAGUGGCGAAGGCGACUUUCUGGCCUGUAACUGACACUGAGGCGCGAAAGCGUGGGGAGCAAACAGGAUUAGAUACCCUGGUAGUCCACGCCGUAAACGAUGAGUGCUAAGUGUGGGGGGGUUUCCGCCCCUCAGUGCUGCAGCUAACGCAUUAAGCACUCCGCCUGGGGAGUACGGUCGCAAGACUG
This 372-nucleotide ribosomal RNA is filed under the name uncultured organism. RNAcentral describes it as "partial 16S ribosomal RNA". It matches the Rfam family "Bacterial small subunit ribosomal RNA", at positions 527 to 896 of the family's 1533-position model. The record is from RNAcentral.